Molecule: ribozyme, 165 nt
Filed under: Anopheles stephensi (Asian malaria mosquito)
Lineage: Eukaryota; Metazoa; Arthropoda; Insecta; Diptera; Culicidae
Description: drz-agam-2-2 ribozyme
Rfam family: drz-agam-2-2 ribozyme
Source: Rfam by way of RNAcentral
GUUAGCUGCAACUUUAUACUUUGGCUAUCCAUACCCAACUACGACUCAAAACGUCCCAGCGUACAGAACAGUAACACUUCUCUCCAAAUAUCUGAGCUUGAGUAUACGCGGAAACCCAACACCAUGUUUCCCAUGGGGUAUGGGUGAUAUGACCUUUCGGGCUGU